This 1263-nucleotide ribosomal RNA is filed under the name Arthrobacter sp. Its description in RNAcentral is "bacterial SSU rRNA". It matches the Rfam family "Bacterial small subunit ribosomal RNA", at positions 200 to 1473 of the family's 1533-position model. The record is from RNAcentral. Lineage: Bacteria; Bacillati; Actinomycetota; Actinomycetes; Micrococcales; Micrococcaceae.
UGGAAAGCUUUUGUGGUUUUGGAUGGACUCGCGGCCUAUCAGCUUGUUGGUGGGGUAAUGGCCUACCAAGGCGACGACGGGUAGCCGGCCUGAGAGGGUGACCGGCCACACUGGGACUGAGACACGGCCCAGACUCCUACGGGAGGCAGCAGUGGGGAAUAUUGCACAAUGGGCGGAAGCCUGAUGCAGCGACGCCGCGUGAGGGAUGACGGCCUUCGGGUUGUAAACCUCUUUCAGUAGGGAAGAAGCGUAAGUGACGGUACCUGCAGAAGAAGCGCCGGCUAACUACGUGCCAGCAGCCGCGGUAAUACGUAGGGCGCAAGCGUUAUCCGGAAUUAUUGGGCGUAAAGAGCUCGUAGGCGGUUUGUCGCGUCUGCCGUGAAAGUCCGGGGCUCAACUCCGGAUCUGCGGUGGGUACGGGCAGACUAGAGUGAUGUAGGGGAGACUGGAAUUCCUGGUGUAGCGGUGAAAUGCGCAGAUAUCAGGAGGAACACCGAUGGCGAAGGCAGGUCUCUGGGCAUUAACUGACGCUGAGGAGCGAAAGCAUGGGGAGCGAACAGGAUUAGAUACCCUGGUAGUCCAUGCCGUAAACGUUGGGCACUAGGUGUGGGGGACAUUCCACGUUUUCCGCGCCGUAGCUAACGCAUUAAGUGCCCCGCCUGGGGAGUACGGCCGCAAGGCUAAAACUCAAAGGAAUUGACGGGGGCCCGCACAAGCGGCGGAGCAUGCGGAUUAAUUCGAUGCAACGCGAAGAACCUUACCAAGGCUUGACAUGAACCGGAAAGGCCUGGAAACAGGUCCCCCACUUGUGGUCGGUUUACAGGUGGUGCAUGGUUGUCGUCAGCUCGUGUCGUGAGAUGUUGGGUUAAGUCCCGCAACGAGCGCAACCCUCGUUCUAUGUUGCCAGCACGUGAUGGUGGGGACUCAUAGGAGACUGCCGGGGUCAACUCGGAGGAAGGUGGGGACGACGUCAAAUCAUCAUGCCCCUUAUGUCUUGGGCUUCACGCAUGCUACAAUGGCCGGUACAAAGGGUUGCGAUACUGUGAGGUGGAGCUAAUCCCAAAAAGCCGGUCUCAGUUCGGAUUGGGGUCUGCAACUCGACCCCAUGAAGUCGGAGUCGCUAGUAAUCGCAGAUCAGCAACGCUGCGGUGAAUACGUUCCCGGGCCUUGUACACACCGCCCGUCAAGUCACGAAAGUUGGUAACACCCGAAGCCGGUGGCCUAACCCCUUGUGGGAGGGAGCUGUCGAAGGUGGGACUGGCG